Molecule: ribosomal RNA, 374 nt
Filed under: uncultured Glomeromycotina
Lineage: Eukaryota; Fungi; Glomeromycota
Description: LSU rRNA
Source: RNAcentral
UUGAAAGGGAAACGAUUGAAGUCAGUCGUACCAGCGGGAAAUCAACCUUUCGAGUGGGGUUUUGGAGUUUUGAAGUGUGUCAAAACCUUUGAGAUUCCNNAAUUUUCGCUCUUUUGGUGUACUUUCUCGUGGGUAGGUUAACAUCGAUUUUGAUCAUCAUAAAAAGAUUGGAGGAAUGUAGCUUCGAUCUUGUAUUGAAGUGUUAUAGCCUUUGGUAAAUGUGAUGAUUAGGAUCGAGGAUUGCAACGAAUACCCUUUUGGGCUAUCCGCCUGAUCUCUGAUACGUGGCCUUGGUAUCGAAAGCUUGCUUAUGGUAUUAAGGUAUUACGGUCAAAAGGUUAGAACGGAUUACAUUCGUUAAGGAUGUUGACGUA